AGCGCUUUUCAAAAGCGCUCUGGUAGGGGUGUUUAAUGAGAGCGCUUUUUGUCAAAAGCGCUGGUAUAGACCAGGCUAUGAGAGCGCUUUUCAGAAGCGCUUUAGUAGCCUUUAUUACUAAAAAUUAAAAACCAAAACACGCGUUACUGUUUCUCAUUUCUCUCUUUCGUUUUCUGCAGAACCCUUCCGUCCACCACUGUUCUUCAUCCACAAACCCUCACUGCACGCGAAACCCUUCCGUCCACCACCAUCGGCAACCACCGUCGGCGUCCCUCCGUCGGCUUCUCCUCCGUCACUCGUUUUAUCCACCGCCGGUCUGACUGGAUUGAUAACUUUGGAUCUCUUUGGAGCUCGUAUCAUUGACUCUGGUACUACAUAUUUAGGAGGGUAACUUGUGUAUAGUGAAAGUUUGAUCGUUUCCCAGCCUAGUUCGACGUUUGGCGUUUUCUUGAGUUCGGUAACAUCCGAGGUUCAAUGGCUUCAGAUAGAGAUGCUCCACCUGAAAACCCACCUGAAAACUUACAAGAAAACUCACAAGAAAGAGUUGCUUCGGAUACAAAUGCUCCACCUGAUACUGAAGCAAAAGAGGUUGCACGAGGCAUCACUAUUAUGAGGAGUAUCAUACGACAUAGAGACCAAGGAUUAGUAUAUCGAUUGGAAUGGAAUUCUGAUAAACAACCAAUUGGUCCUAAUUCUGCAAAGUUGACAAGUUAUAUUGGUACACUUGUCCGUAUGCAUAUUCCGGUCUCCAUAGCUACCUGGAAAUCGAAAACGAAAAAUUUAGAAUUGGAGGAGAAAAAACAAGCGAUUUGGGAAGAG
This is a long non-coding RNA of Vicia villosa (hairy vetch), 819 nucleotides long. RefSeq lists it as uncharacterized. The record is from RefSeq and is a predicted model, not a curated record. The transcript is spliced from 4 exons. NCBI's taxonomy places the organism in Eukaryota, Viridiplantae, Streptophyta, Magnoliopsida, Fabales, Fabaceae.